Molecule: ribosomal RNA, 572 nt
Filed under: Paraconiothyrium sp. UASWS0930
Lineage: Eukaryota; Fungi; Ascomycota; Dothideomycetes; Pleosporales; Didymosphaeriaceae
Description: eukaryotic LSU rRNA
Rfam family: 5.8S ribosomal RNA (bases 212-365)
Source: RNAcentral
CAUUAUCUAUUCCAUGAGGUGCGGUCGCGGCCCUCGGCGGGAGCAACAGCUGCCGUCGGGCGGUAGAGGUAACACUUUCACGCGCUGCAUGUCUGAAUCCUUUUUUUACGAGCACCUUUCGUUCUCCUUCGGCGGGGCAACCUGCCGUUGGAACCUAUCAAAACCUUUUUUUGCAUCUAGCAUUACCUGUUCUGAUACAAACAAUCGUUACAACUUUCAACAAUGGAUCUCUUGGCUCUGGCAUCGAUGAAGAACGCAGCGAAAUGCGAUAAGUAGUGUGAAUUGCAGAAUUCAGUGAAUCAUCGAAUCUUUGAACGCACAUUGCGCCCCUUGGUAUUCCAUGGGGCAUGCCUGUUCGAGCGUCAUCUACACCCUCAAGCUCUGCUUGGUGUUGGGCGUCUGUCCCGCCUCUGCGCGCGGACUCGCCCCAAAUUCAUUGGCAGCGGUCCUUGCCUCCUCUCGCGCAGCACAUUGCGCUUCUCGAGGUGCGCGGCCCGCGUCCACGAAGCAACAUUACCGUCUUUGACCUCGGAUCAGGUAGGGAUACCCGCUGAACUUAAGCAUAUCAAUAA